Molecule: ribosomal RNA, 253 nt
Filed under: uncultured bacterium
Lineage: Bacteria
Description: partial 16S ribosomal RNA
Rfam family: Bacterial small subunit ribosomal RNA
Source: RNAcentral
GACAGAGGGUGCAAACGUUGCUCGGAAUCACUGGGCGUAAAGGGCGUGUAGGCGGGAAGGAAAGUCAGAUGUGAAAUCCCUGGGCUCAACCCAGGAACUGCAUUUGAAACUCCCUUUCUUGAGUGCUGGAGAGGAAAGCGGAAUUCCUGGUGUAGAGGUGAAAUUCGUAGAUAUCAGGAGGAACACCGGUGGCGAAGGCGGCUUUCUGGACAGUAACUGACGCUGAGACGCGAAAGCGUGGGGAGCAAACAGG